GCCCCCAAAUCAGUAAUGUCCACCGGCUUGAGGUCAUCACAGGUUUGUAUGAGAAUUUGUUUUUGAUAUUACUGAAUCCAACUAAUAUGCAAGAUCACCCUGUUUUUCAAAGAUCAUUGGAAUAUAUAGGUAAUUUAAUUUGAAUUUAUCAAAGAAAAUUACAUCAACUUGUAUGGAUUUUUCACCAAUGCAAACUUAUUGCAGGAAAAGGAGAAGUGAGAAUUUGUUCAGAGGAGCAGAAUGCUGACCUCUUUCACGGAGUUCUCGGUGGACUUGGCCAGUUUGGUAUAAUAACUCGAGCAAGAAUCUCUCUAGAGCCAGCACCAAAGAUGGUAAAAAUUUACCAAUCCUGCCAAAACUCGAUUAUAAGCCUUUGGAAUAACAGAAUAGUUUGACAAACUUGUACUUUAACUGUCAACAGGUGAAAUGGAUCAGAGUACUUUAUUCAGAUUUCUCCACUUUUUCCAGAGAUCAGGAGAAUCUAAUAUCUGCAGAAAACACAUUUGAUU
RNAcentral lists this long non-coding RNA (509 nucleotides) under Olea europaea (common olive). Its description in RNAcentral is "long non-coding RNA (OEUR_LNC001129)". Lineage: Eukaryota; Viridiplantae; Streptophyta; Magnoliopsida; Lamiales; Oleaceae. The record is from RNAcentral.